Molecule: ribosomal RNA, 253 nt
Filed under: uncultured bacterium
Lineage: Bacteria
Description: partial 16S ribosomal RNA
Rfam family: Bacterial small subunit ribosomal RNA
Source: RNAcentral
UACGAGAGGUCCAAACGUUAUUCGGAAUCACUGGGCUUACAGAGUUCGUAGGCGGUUCUACAAGUGGGGUGUGAAAGCCCUCGGCUCAACCGAGGAACUGCGCUCCAAACUGUAGAACUAGAGGGAGAUAGAGGUGAGCGGAACUGAUGGUGGAGCGGUGAAAUGCGUUGAUAUCAGCAGGAACACCGGAGGCGAAGGCGGCUCACUGGGUCUCUUCUGACGCUGAGGAACGAAAGCUAGGGGAGCAAACGGG